This is a long non-coding RNA of Drosophila miranda, 1102 nucleotides long. RefSeq lists it as uncharacterized. The record is from RefSeq and is a predicted model, not a curated record. The transcript is spliced from 3 exons. Lineage: Eukaryota; Metazoa; Arthropoda; Insecta; Diptera; Drosophilidae.
CUAGCCUCGGUCUCUUGGAAGAAAAACUGUUGGCGAAGACAGACGUGCUAUUUUUGUCCAGUCCAAGUAUAAAGAAAAAAAAAAGAGGAAUAAAAACCGGGAAAAGAUCUUAACAGCUGAAUACAGCAAAAAGAAAGAAAUAUUGUGCGUUUAUAAAGUAAAAGUGUGUUAAGUGCCAAUCUCAAUUGGAAAUUAAUUUUUCAGGUUGGCGGUUAGUACCGGCUUAAACUCCGGGCAAUCGUUUGGGUACCUGUCUGAACCCCAAUACGAAAGCUCGCAACAACAAUUUCCCCGAUAUUAGGGCCUCCGCCCGCGGCAAGGGACUUAUGCUCCUCUCCCAACUACAGCUCCGUACCAAAAAUUCCCAGCGCUAGGCCGAGCAGCACAAAGCCACUUAUGUGUCACGGACCCGCGAUAUAUUGGAGGCCGUCCAAUUCUGCGGAAAUUAUUAAAGCUAUGUAAACGGUCAGCCAAUUUCUACCCGAAAUAUAGAUCUGGGUCUCGACCUAUUUUCGUUUCCCCAUACGAAGUGCCGAGGAGUGCCCAGAUGUGAAGCCGGCGGCAACGACUGUCGUUUUUUUUUAUAUCCAUCAGUGUAACCGCUGAUUCCUAUUUUUAUGCUAUAGUGUCAUUAGUGUAAUUAGCUUAGUAAAUUUCUUUUGGUUGUGUUUUUAAAUUCUGUUCGGAAGAAAUAGCAAGUGGAAUGUGUGACAGGGCGAAAGUGAACAACGGUUAAACGGCAGAGGAGAGCGUGAGUUUUUUUUUGUAAAAGUAUUUCUCCAGCUUUCGUUUUAGGAACGUUGCCGCAGUCCAUGGAAGCGCUUUCAUCGCUGUUUCAACGCAUUUAUUAAAACAAAUCAAAGGAAGGCCUCAGGGGCUUCGUCGCUUAAGAGAGGCUGUGCGCUCUCCCUUAUGCCCUGCUGGCAACCAUAAGCGCUUACGCCGCCCAUAAGAACCAGCCCUCUUAAGAACAAGGCACAAAAGGGAAGAUGCGAGGCUGGUCGCUCUGACGUUCUUUUAUGCUUUCUACUUGCGGUUGCUUUCGCUAAUGCACUUGAAUACCUGACCUGCCAUAACGAUCGCGGCGCACAGUUUUUACAUU